CUCAAGUGGCGGACGGGUGAGUAACACGUAAGAAUUUGCCUUUAGGAGGGGGAUAACAACUGGAAACGGUUGCUAAUACCCCAUAUGCUUUCGAGUGAAAUGGAUUUUUCCGCCUAGAGAGAAGCUUGCGGCUGAUUAGCUUGUUGGUAAGGUAAUGGCUUACCAAGGCGACGAUCAGUAUCUGGUUUGAGAGGACGAUCAGACACACUGGAACUGAGACACGGUCCAGACUCCUACGGGAGGCAGCAGUGGGGAAUUUUCCGCAAUGGGCGAAAGCCUGACGGAGCAAUACCGCGUGAGGGAUGACGGCCUAUGGGUUGUAAACCUCUUUUUUCAGGGAGGAAAAAAAUGACGUUACCUGAAGAAUAAGCAUCGGCUAACUCCGUGCCAGCAGCCGCGGUAAGACGGAGGAUGCAAGUGUUAUCCGGAAUCACUGGGCGUAAAGCGUCUGUAGGUGGUUUAAUAAGUCAACUGUUAAAUCUUGGGGCUCAACCUCAAAACCGCAGUCGAAACUAUUAGACUAGAGUAUAGUAGGGGUAAAGGGAAUUUCCAGUGGAGCGGUGAAAUGCGUAGAGAUUGG
RNAcentral lists this ribosomal RNA (580 nucleotides) under uncultured cyanobacterium. Its description in RNAcentral is "bacterial SSU rRNA". It matches the Rfam family "Bacterial small subunit ribosomal RNA", at positions 90 to 700 of the family's 1533-position model. Lineage: Bacteria; Bacillati; Cyanobacteriota. The record is from RNAcentral.